RNAcentral lists this ribosomal RNA (253 nucleotides) under uncultured bacterium. RNAcentral's name for it is "partial 16S ribosomal RNA". It matches the Rfam family "Bacterial small subunit ribosomal RNA", at positions 524 to 776 of the family's 1533-position model. The record is from RNAcentral.
UACGAAGGGGGCUAGCGUUGUUCGGAAUUACUGGGCGUAAAGCGCACGUAGGCGGUGUUCCAUGUCAGAGGUGAAAGCCUGGGGCUCAACCCCAGAAUUGCCUUUGAAACGGGAACGCUUGAGUCCGAGAGAGGAUGGCGGAAUUCCUAGUGUAGAGGUGAAAUUCGUAGAUAUUAGGAAGAACACCGGUGGCGAAGGCGGCCAUCUGGCUCGGUACUGACGCUCAGGUGCGAAAGCGUGGGGAGCAAACAGG